AUUGAACGCUGGCGGCAGGCCUAACACAUGCAAGUCGGACGGUAGCACAGAGAGCUUGCUCUCGGGUGACGAGUGGCGGACGGGUGAGUAAUGUCUGGGGAUCUGCCCGAUAGAGGGGGAUAACCACUGGAAACGGUGGCUAAUACCGCAUAACGUCGCAAGACCAAAGAGGGGGACCUUCGGGCCUCUCACUAUCGGAUGAACCCAGAUGGGAUUAGCUAGUAGGCGGGGUAACGGCCCACCUAGGCGACGAUCCCUAGCUGGUCUGAGAGGAUGACCAGCCACACUGGAACUGAGUCACGGUCCAGACUCCUACGGGAGGCAGCAGUGGGGAAUAUUGCACAAUGGGCGCAAGCCUGAUGCAGCCAUGCCGCGUGUAUGAAGAAGGCCUUCGGGUUGUAAAGUACUUUCAGCGGGGAGGAAGGCGAUGUGGUUAAUAACCGCAUUGAUUGACGUUACCCGCAGAAGAAGCACCGGCUAACUCCGUGCCAGCAGCCGCCGUAA
This 504-nucleotide ribosomal RNA is filed under the name uncultured bacterium. Its description in RNAcentral is "partial 16S ribosomal RNA". It matches the Rfam family "Bacterial small subunit ribosomal RNA", at positions 30 to 523 of the family's 1533-position model. The record is from RNAcentral.